AAUACUCUCCUUAGUGUUGUGUGUGUGUGUAUGGUGAUUGUGAACGCAGCCUGAGGCUGACUCCUUCCCCCAACCAACUCCCUAAUCAGGCCAGGUUAUAUGAGGCACCUGUGUGUCAUUGUUCAGGCAGUGGGUCUUCUGCUCUGUCCCUGCUGUGGCUGGUGUCCUGUGUUCCAGGUAUGAUUAGUGAAGAAACCCUCAUAAUUCCCAUGUUAAGUGGCAUUUUUCUUUUAAAGGUUGAUUUGUUUGUGUUCAGAGUGUUUGCUGCAACUUUGGGAACCCCCUAUCUGCUCCCUGCCCUGAAAGUGACUUGAUGCCCUAGCUAGAGGUGGUGAGUAGGAGCACAGCUUUAAUAAUUUUUAAUGUAAUUUGGGCCUGGUUAAUAGUUUGUUCCCUUUUCCAGGUUCUCCUGCCCUACCUACUGCUGCUUUGUCCCCUUUUGUGUUCAUUAAUUGAGUCUCUUUAGUUACCUUAUUUUUCUUGUUUUGUUAGGGUUUUAUUUAGUGGGUUUUCUUUGAUUUUCUUUAAGGUUCAGUUUCCUGGGUUAUCCUCUUUAAAUAUCUGUUAACAAUCAACUGGGUUAUAUUACAUUGUUCAUUGGUUUAUUUCCUGGUUACUUUAUUUCUUAACUCGUUUACUGAUCUGCUUGGGUCCUUUGUUUAAUUUACUGGGUUAUUGUAUCCAUUUCUUUUAAUACUUUAAUUCAUUUUGGCUAUUUUGAUUACUUCAUUCUAUUACUUUAUUACAUUAAUUGUUUAAUUGACUACUGGGUUGCUGUAUUGUAUUUCCUUUGCCUGUUUAUUUGGUUAUUUGUUUCUGACCUUUUUUUUGUAUUUAGUCUUUUUCUUUCAGGAGCAGAGCGCCAUAUUUUUUGGGGGGGGGCUAAGCACUUGUGGUGAGGUCCCUUCACUUUAUGCAUGUGAGUAACUGCACGGGGGACACCCUAGACUGCACCAUUUGUUUGCUGUGAAGAUUGCUGUAAAGGUUGCUGUGAGGUUUGCUGUGUUGCACCUGAGCUUGGCUGCUAACACAGAAGCUAACUGAUGUCAUCACGUGAUAUGUGACUCUCCCCGAGCAUUCUGGACGCCAUCCUGAAGUCAUUUAAAGAGGGAACAGAUAAUGUCUGAAGACAUGCAGCUGAACACCAAAAACAUGCUACAGCAAGAAGAGGAUGGGAGGCAACAUUAACUCUUCAUCCCUGGAGCCCCUGCAUCAAGGGGUGUUGCACCUUCCUGUGUAACCCUUACCCAGAAUCUUUUAUUGGCUGUUGUAUUUGUUAAAAACUUUGAAUAAUACACUUCAGUGUACAGUACCGUUUUGCUGUAAUUUAGAUCUAAUUAGCCUCUAAUAGGAUCUAGUUCAGGUUGAAUAGGGCGAACGGUGCAGACUUUAAUUUAGAGUAUGGUUUUGCUGUAGUUUAUACGUAAUUAGCCUCUAAUAAGAUCUACUUAAGGUUGACUAAGGAUCACUAUGUAUUACUACCUACAAAUGGGACUCCAGAGAAUGAGCCAUCCAGGCAACAAGGGAUUUGUUGGUGUUUGUUUAAUGUCUAAUAAAAUAUUUUACCUCCUGUUUUUGUCUAAUUUGUUGCGAAGUACAUGUUGUUUGCUCUCA
Molecule: non-coding RNA, 1614 nt
Organism: Epinephelus lanceolatus (giant grouper)
Lineage: Eukaryota; Metazoa; Chordata; Actinopteri; Perciformes; Serranidae
Source: RefSeq, a predicted model, not a curated record